UGUUAGAAGUUACUUGAUGCA
RNAcentral lists this non-coding RNA (21 nucleotides) under Caenorhabditis elegans. Lineage: Eukaryota; Metazoa; Nematoda; Chromadorea; Rhabditida; Rhabditidae. The record is from RNAcentral.